GACGAACCGUGCGAACGUUAUUCGGAAUCACUGGGCUUAAAGCGCGUGUAGGCGGCCCGGAACGUCCGUCGCUGAAAUCCCCUAGCUCAACUAGGGAAGUGGCGUGGAUACGACCGGGCUGGAGGGGGGUAGGGGGGACGGGAACUCACGGUGGAGCGGUGAAAUGCGUUGAGAUCGUGAGGAACGCCCGUGGCGAAAGCGCGUCCCUGGACCCCACCUGACGCUGAGACGCGAAAGCCAGGGGAGCGAACGGG
Molecule: ribosomal RNA, 254 nt
Filed under: uncultured bacterium
Lineage: Bacteria
Description: partial 16S ribosomal RNA
Rfam family: Bacterial small subunit ribosomal RNA
Source: RNAcentral